RNAcentral lists this ribosomal RNA (497 nucleotides) under uncultured bacterium. RNAcentral's name for it is "partial 16S ribosomal RNA". It matches the Rfam family "Bacterial small subunit ribosomal RNA", at positions 28 to 507 of the family's 1533-position model. The record is from RNAcentral.
GAUGAACGCUGGCGGCGUGCCUAAUACAUGCAAGUCGAGCGAACGGACGAGAAGCUUGCUUCUCUGAUGUUAGCGGCGGACGGGUGAGUAACACGUGGAUAACCUACCUAUAAGACUGGGAUAACUUCGGGAAACCGGAGCUAAUACCGGAUGAUAUUUUGAACCGCAUGGUUCAAAAGUGAAAGACGGUCUUGCUGUCACUUAUAGAUGGAUCCGCGCUGCAUUAGCUAGUUGGUAAGGUAACGGCUUACCAAGGCAACGAUGCAUAGCCGACCUGAGAGGGUGAUCGGCCACACUGGAACUGAGACACGGUCCAGACUCCUACGGGAGGCAGCAGUAGGGAAUCUUCCGCAAUGGGCGAAAGCCUGACGGAGCAACGCCGCGUGAGUGAUGAAGGUCUUCGGAUCGUAAAACUCUGUUAUUAGGGAAGAACAUAUGUGUAAGUAACUGUGCACAUCUUGUCGGUACCUAAUCAGAAAGCCACGGCUAACUACGUG